CCACACCUCUUCCGGGGCCGCUCUUGUCUUGCGUCUCGCUGGCGCCCUUUCAGGGUUUCCUUCCCUGCGUCAUCAUGGCCUCGGGUCUUUCUCGCCGGCCUCCUCUGCAUCACUCUUCUGAGCUUUGCCGGUGCCUUUCCAUCCUGGGCAUUGACGUUUGACUCUUUUCUGGGCUCGUCCAGAGCCUCGGCCCUACGACGCCACGACCGUGCGGCUCUUUCUGGCCGGCAGUCUUAUGUGUGGGAAUAGGGUUUUUUUUGUGUAGGGCUGUCCUCUGUGUUUGUGUCUGCUGUUUGUUUGUCUGUGUGUUUUUGGGGCUGGAGCUGCCUUGCCUGUGGGUGUUAGCCAUGGUGGUGUGUGGAGUGUGUCCGUGAUGGACUGGAGUGGUGGUGUUGCGGGCAUCGCCUGAGUGUGUGACUUCUCUCUGUGCUUGCAGGUUUUGCGGGAAGUUGUGGAGAGAAGCAGCUGAGUGCUGAGAAGAGCCUGAGCAGGUCUGCUGUGGGCCUUUCCCAGGCGUGGCUGAGACUUUCAGGCGCCACGGGCUUCCCCCCAGGCAGGAUGUUGGCGUUUGGAGUUGUUGCGGUGCAGAUGAUGAAGGCAAAUGUGGUGAGCAAAAGAAGAUCAGAGGGUGCGGCUGCUGCAGAGGAUGUGUCUGCUGUUGAGGAUGCCUCUUGAGGAGCAACAGUGAUGCAGAGCACUGCAAAAGCGAAGUGCAUGGGCAAAGGGUGUUGCGGGGUGUGUGUGUGUGUGUUGGUGUGUGUGAGGCAGAGGCAGUGGGGUGUGCAUGGCAGAAAGUGAGGGUGGGUGUCAGGCAGGGCAGCUCCAGCCUGUGUCUGUGUUGUUGUGUAGUGUAUGUGGUGUGUGUUGUAGCUGUGCUAUCUUUUGCUCAGGUCUUGAUGUUGCCCUUGCUCUUUGUGCUCAAGGAGCACAGCAUAUGCUUUGUAGUGCUAGUGCAACAGGCAUCUGCUGUCUUUUGUCUGGUCUUGACUGACUCAUCUGUGUUGCUCCAAUGAUCAUCUUGUUCUGUGCAGGCAGCUGAAAGCAGCAGUCUGUCACUGUGAUUCUGCAUUGUUUCUGGCCAAUCAUCUUGGCAGCCAUCAUUCAGGUCUUGUUGGUCGUGUGUUUUCUGAGGCCUCUCUUAUUUUGCAUCUUCCUGGUGCCCUUUCAGGGUUUUCUUCCCUGUGUCAUCAGAACCUCGGGUCUUUCUUGCUGGCCUCUUCUGCAUGGCCGUUCCUCGCUUUGCUGGCCCCUUUCCAUCACAGAUGGUGGCAUCUGACUCUUUUCUGGUCUCGUGGAGAGCACCAGAGCCGCACGGUCGUGGCAUUGUAGGGCUUUCUGGCUGGCAGCAUCUUCUGUGCUGGCAUUGUUUUUUGCAUGGAGGGUGUGUGUACGUGUCUGUGUGUACGUGUCUGUGUGUACGUGUCUGUGUGUACGUGUCUGUGUGUGUGUUUGGAGCUGCCUUGCCUGUGGGUGUAGUAAUGGUAGUUGCCAGAGCAGAAUAAUGUAUCUAUGAAACACUUAUUUUGUUUUUUCUUUUUUUUUUU
This is a long non-coding RNA of Dromaius novaehollandiae (emu), 1544 nucleotides long. RefSeq lists it as uncharacterized. The transcript is spliced from 4 exons. Lineage: Eukaryota; Metazoa; Chordata; Aves; Casuariiformes; Dromaiidae. The record is from RefSeq and is a predicted model, not a curated record.